UUUACAUUUACACAUAAUCAAUUAAACAUUAACAGAUAAAUAUAUAGUCAUUGUAUGACCAAACAACAUGAUUCAUAUAAUACAUGUAUUUAUAAUAUCACUACAAAUGAUCAUUUAGAAUGUUGUUACAACCACAUACUCUGUAAAAAUAAAUAAGUAAAUAAAAUGCCUGGAAUGAAGAUUCAUGUGUAAAAAUGAGAUUGCUUUAGAGGAAAAAGAUUAAGAUCUCCUUUUCAAAUAAUAAAUCACAAAGAAGAGCAUUUAUAGAUUUUCUUUUUUACACGAUAAUUGGCCUUUUCAGUAUCUAAAAGACUAUGGGUAAUAUCAUCGUUUAUACACCAAAAACAAAAUAAAGGUACAUCAUUGAUUCAAUUUCAAUUGUUUAGGAUGUUUUAACCAAUCACAAUGUUUUGGUGUUAGUUUUUGAAAAUAUUACCCAGAAUGCAUCAGACUUUAAAAUGGAGAAUUGUCCAUUUUCAUCAAGAUUAAUCCACACCUUUCAAUAGAAUGAAAAAUGAUAAUUAACAAUUAUAACAUGAUAUCCAAAUAAAAAGAUUAAUUGUACUGAUUGGAUGUUAUUGGGCAUGUGAUAUUUUCUAUUAUUGUGUUAACUUUCCCUUAGGCAAUUAAGAAUAAAAUAAUUCAUCUUCUUAUGCUGUAUUUACUUAAAUAAGAAGCCUAUUCGAAAAUUACCUAUCCAUUUCCCAGUGACAAAUAAAAGCAAUUUUUCAUAUAACCUUAAACUUUCUAUUGGACUGUUAAUACUGUACAAAUUCUUUUAAAUUCAAACGAGCAAAUAUAACAUUUUUUCUUAGAAAUUGUUCAAAAAAGUAAAUUUUGACACAAGAUUUUUUCUAU
This 858-nucleotide long non-coding RNA is filed under the name Mytilus galloprovincialis (Mediterranean mussel). The record is from RNAcentral. Lineage: Eukaryota; Metazoa; Mollusca; Bivalvia; Mytilida; Mytilidae.